UUGGAGGGCAAGUCUGGUGCCAGCAGCCGCGGUAAUUCCAGCUCCAAUAGCGUAUAUUAAAGUUGUUGUGGUUAAAAAGCUCGUAGUUGAACCUUGGGCCUGGCUGGCCGGUCCGCCUCACCGCGUGUACUGGUCCGGCCGGGUCUUUCCCUCUGUGGAACCCCCAUGCCCUUCACUGGGUGUGGCGGGGAAACAGGACUUUUACUUGAAAAAAUUAGAGUGCUCCAGGCAGGCCUAUGCUCGAAUACAUUAGCAUGGAAUAAUGAAAUAGGACGUGCGG
RNAcentral lists this ribosomal RNA (280 nucleotides) under uncultured Ascomycota. RNAcentral's name for it is "partial 18S ribosomal RNA". It matches the Rfam family "Eukaryotic small subunit ribosomal RNA", at positions 548 to 834 of the family's 1831-position model. The record is from RNAcentral. Lineage: Eukaryota; Fungi; Ascomycota.